GAACAGCCGUCUGGAGAGACGUCGCAGCGCACCCCGGUGCCGCUGGCGGCGCACCGAAGGAGCAAGCCCCGCAACCGUUGCGGUGUGAAUCUCUCAGGUACCGAGGACAGGGGGAGCGGC
This 120-nucleotide non-coding RNA is filed under the name Xylophilus sp. Leaf220. RNAcentral describes it as "Glycine riboswitch aptamer". It matches the Rfam family "Glycine riboswitch aptamer". Rfam says of the family: This family represents the bacterial glycine riboswitch. Lineage: Bacteria; Pseudomonadati; Pseudomonadota; Betaproteobacteria; Burkholderiales. RNAcentral also lists the same sequence under 1 other name. The record is from Rfam by way of RNAcentral.